RNAcentral lists this ribosomal RNA (156 nucleotides) under Gigaspora albida. RNAcentral describes it as "5.8S rRNA". It matches the Rfam family "5.8S ribosomal RNA". Rfam says of the family: 5.8S ribosomal RNA (5.8S rRNA) is a component of the large subunit of the eukaryotic ribosome. It is transcribed by RNA polymerase I as part of the 45S precursor that also contains 18S and 28S rRNA. The record is from RNAcentral. Lineage: Eukaryota; Fungi; Glomeromycota; Glomeromycetes; Diversisporales; Gigasporaceae.
AACUUUCAACAAUGGAUCUCUUGGUUCUCGCAUCGAUGAAGAACGCAGCAAAAUGCGAUAAGUAAUAUGAAUUGCAGAAUUCCGUGAAUCAUCAAAUUUUUGAACGCAAAUUGCACUCCUUGGUAUUCCGAGGAGUACACAUGCUUGAGGGUCAGU